Molecule: ribosomal RNA, 495 nt
Filed under: uncultured bacterium
Lineage: Bacteria
Description: bacterial SSU rRNA
Rfam family: Bacterial small subunit ribosomal RNA
Source: RNAcentral
AACGAACGCUGGCGGCAUGCUUCAUACAUGCAAGUCGAACGGUUGUAGCAAUACAAUAGUGGCGAACGGGUGAGUAACACGUGGAUAAUCUGCCCUUUGGCGGGGGAUAUCGGCUGGAAACGGCCGGCAAUACCGCAUGUGGUUCGUGGGUCUUCGGCCCUGCGAAAGAAAGGCGCUUCACGGCGUCACCAGAGGAUGAGUCCGCGGCCCAUUAGCUAGUUGGUGAGAUAACAGCCCACCAAGGCUUUGAUGGGUAGCCGAGCUGAGAGGUUGAUCGGCCACACUGGAACUGAGACACGGUCCAGACACCUACGGGUGGCAGCAGUAGGGAAUAUUGGACAAUGGGCGCAAGCCUGAUCCAGCAAUGCCGCGUGAGUGACGAAGGAUUUCGGUCUGUAAAGCUCUUUUCUGGGGGAAGAAAUGAUGGAAGAGGAAAUGCUUCCAUUUUGACGGUACCUCAGGAAUAAGGGACGGCUAACUCCGUGCCAGCAGCCG